CCUACGGGAGGCAGCAGUGGGGAAUAUUGCGCAAUGGGCGAAAGCCUGACGCAGCGACGCCGCGUGAGGGAUGAAGGUCUUCGGAUCGUAAACCUCUGUCAGCAGGGAAGAACGGUCACUGUGCUAAUCAGCAGUGAAUUGACGGUACCUGCAAAGUAAGCACCGGCUAACUCCGUGCCAGCAGCCGCGGGAAUACGGAGGGUGCGAGCGUUAAUCGGAAUUACUGGGCGUAAAGCGCUCGUAGUCGGUAUGUCAAGUCAAGGGUGAAAGCCCCGCGCUCAACGUGGGAACUGCCUUUGAAACUGGCAAACUGGAGUGUGUGAGAGGAUAGUGGAAUUCCAGGUGUAGGAGUGAAAUCCGUAGAUAUCUGGAGGAACAUCAGUGGCGAAGGCGACUAUCUGGCACAUAACUGACGCUGAGGAGCGAAAGCGUGGGUAGCAAACAGGAUUAGAUACCCUGGUAGUC
Molecule: ribosomal RNA, 465 nt
Filed under: uncultured bacterium
Lineage: Bacteria
Description: partial 16S ribosomal RNA
Rfam family: Bacterial small subunit ribosomal RNA
Source: RNAcentral